GCCUAAUAAUUUAUUUAACAACAUAAACUGUAUGUUAACCGCAUUAUUAAAUCACUUGUACAAGAAUUAUUAGGAAAAGAGAGGGAUAAAAGCAAUAAUAUAUCAAAAAGUAAAAAUAAUAUAGAAGAUAGAAUCCAAGAUAAAUCUUGUGUAUAGAAGCAGCUAAAAGCCACCACCUAAAAGUGAAAAUGGAUAAGGCGGUGGUGGUCUAGCCUCCACAUCUGCCGCCAGUUCUCCAAAAUAGCUUAUUUGGCCAACCCUAUCAUCACCACAACCUAUCAAGUUAUUCUCUGGUGGAGGCCUUGCAACAGUGACAGUGUUCCUAAUCCCUCCACCCAUCGAAAUUGAUGUGAAUGUAUUAGGCGCUGAGUCAGGAACAUAGUUCCCUUCUCCUAACCACCUUAUGAUAUUUUUCUCCGGCGAUGGCGAAGAUUGGCAAAACCCAGUUUCUGGCGACGAUAUUACCCCAACGCUUCCCCAUUCUUCCUCUUCAGACUUCACCAAACUAGAAACUGCCGCCCCACCAGAGGAUGAUGAAGAAGAAGAAAUCAUUAACCGGCACUUUUUGUCAUUUAAUUGUUUGGUUCGUUCUUUCUGGAGUAUCAUGCGAGGGAGAAGAUCAGGGUCCUGCACAACUUUGUAAAGAAAAGACAUCAUUUGUUGAGGGCGUCUCUCAGUGGCCUCCAAGCGUUUGUUCAUAUCCUCAAGCUCUUUCUCCAUGACUCUCUGUUCUUGCUUUAACCUUGCUAUCUCCAUAACUAGCUCUUCAUUGUCAAAAUCCUCUAUUUUAGCUUGCAUACAUGAGCCCUUGCUAUGCUUUCUACGAACUAUAUUCUUCAACAAUUGCUUUUGGCUCCGAAGAAACCACUCGUUUGCGAAUUCCCAUCUAUCGGGAUCCACUUUUCUAAAACCAUAGGUGUUUAGUUGGCGAACGAAGCUAGAGAAGUUGUUG
RNAcentral lists this unclassified non-coding RNA (952 nucleotides) under Hevea brasiliensis (rubber tree). The record is from RNAcentral. Lineage: Eukaryota; Viridiplantae; Streptophyta; Magnoliopsida; Malpighiales; Euphorbiaceae.